Molecule: long non-coding RNA, 588 nt
Filed under: Anser brachyrhynchus (Pink-footed goose)
Lineage: Eukaryota; Metazoa; Chordata; Aves; Anseriformes; Anatidae
Description: lncRNA (ENSABRG00000020109.1)
Source: RNAcentral
AUGGCAAAACAUGGCAGGCCAAGCAGCACACCUGCUCCUGCUGCAGCCCAGAGGCACUGUGAUGAGACAGCAGUGACUGACUUCACCUCAGCUAAAGCAGGAAGCGAGGUGAGAUUAGAAACCAAAAUGUCACCACUGGGAAUCAGGCAUGAAUCCUCUGAGCACUGGCAAGCAAUACUGCAGAUGACCCUCAGGUACCUGAUGCAUCAGCAACACCUGCUACAUCAGCAGACAAGGGAACACCACAGUGAAAAUCUUCAGGAGAAGGAGAGAGACAUAGUGAGGGAUUUCAGGCUCCCUUCUGCCGUACCUCAAAGUGGAAGAGACCUUGAAACAACACUAAUAAACAGUUCUGAGGGACGGUACUGGCUAUUUUUGAAACUAUGAAAUCAAAAGCUACAAUGAAAGCCAACGGUUGAAAAGGCAGAAAAUGGAACCCCCGUCUAGGAGAUCCUUUUGUAUCUGAUAUAUAUAUAUAAGUUCUUAUAUAUCUUAUGUAUGCUGGUGACUUGCCUUCUCUUACAUUUUCUUGCAGUGACCUGAAUCAUUUGUUAGCUUCUGUUACAGUUUUUUGACUGUUACCAAUGU